RNAcentral lists this ribosomal RNA (2156 nucleotides) under Erysipelotrichaceae bacterium MTC7. Its description in RNAcentral is "bacterial LSU rRNA". It matches the Rfam family "Bacterial large subunit ribosomal RNA", at positions 114 to 2283 of the family's 2925-position model. Lineage: Bacteria; Bacillati; Bacillota; Erysipelotrichia; Erysipelotrichales; Erysipelotrichaceae. The record is from RNAcentral.
CCGAAUGGGGAAACCCAGUGGAAGUAAUGAUCCAUUAUCCAUAAGCGAAUACAUAGCUUAUGAGAGAGCAACCUAGGGAAUUGAAACAUCUUAGUACCUAGAGGAAAAGAAAACAACAGUGAUUCCCAGAGUAGCGGCGAGCGAAAUGGGAACAGCCCAAACCGACUAUGAGUCGGGGUAGUAGGACUGCGACGUGGGAUUUUAUGAUGUUAGUAGAAUGGCAUUGAAAGGCCAACCGUAGAGGGUGCAAGUCCCGUAUACGAAAGCAAAGUAAACCCUAGCAGGAUCCUGAGUACGGCGAGACACGAGAAAUCUUGUCGGAAUCAGCCAGGACCAUCUGGCAAGGCUAAAUACUACAUAGUGACCGAUAGUGAACCAGUACCGUGAGGGAAAGGUGAAAAGAACCCCGGGAGGGGAGUGAAAUAGAACCUGAAACCGUAUGCUUACAAGAAGUCAGAGCCCGUUAAAGGGUGAUGGCGUGCCUUUUGUAGAAUGAACCGGCGAGUUACCAUAUCGUGCGAGGUUAAGUAGAAAAUACGGAGCCGAAGCGAAAGCGAGUCUUAAUAGGGCGGAAGUACGAUUUGGUAGACCCGAAACCAGGUGAUCUAUCCAUGACCAGGUUGAAGUUGAGGUGAAACUCAAUGGAGGACCGAACCGACUAUCGUUGAAAAGCUAGCGGAUGAGUUGUGGAUAGCGGAGAAAUUCCAAUCGAACCUGGAUAUAGCUGGUUCUCCUCGAAAUAGCUUUAGGGCUAGCGUCGAAGUUGAGUCGUAUGGAGGUAGAGCACUGAAAGUAUGAUGGCCCCAUCUCGGGGUACUGAUUAUUAUCAAACUACGAAUGCCAUACUGAUAUAUUCGGCAGUCAGACUGUGGGUGAUAAGGUCCAUGGUCAAAAGGGAAACAGCCCAGAUCACCAGCUAAGGUCCCAAAAUGUAUGCUAAGUGGAAAACGAUGUGGGGAUGCACAGACAACUAGGAGGUUGGCUCAGAAGCAGCCAUCCUUUAAAGAGUGCGUAACAGCUCACUAGUCGAGUGACCCUGCGCGGAAAAUGUACCGGGGCUAAGCAUACUACCGAAGCUGUGGAUUCGUAUCUUUUAGAUAUGAGUGGUAGAGGAGCGUUCCAUUCGUCGUUGAAGCUGUACCGUAAGGAGCAGUGGAGAGUAUGGAAGUGAGAAUGCCGGUGUGAGUAGCGAGAUGUAGGUGAGAAUCCUACACACCGAUAGCCUAAGGUUUCCAGGGGAAGGUUCGUCCGCCCUGGGUAAGUCAGGACCUAAGAUGAGGCCGAAAGGCGUAGUCGAUGGACAACAGGUUGAUAUUCCUGUACCCGCGUAAAAAUGAUGGAGUGACGGAGACGGUUAGUAUAUGCCACUUAAUGGAUUGUGGUCUAAGCGAGGUAGCUUGUAUGUAGGAAAAUCCGCAUACUGUAAGGCGAAGGCGUGAUGGGGAAGCGAAAGCAUUCGUGCGAGUAGUGAAGUAUAUGAUACCGGCUUCCAAGAAAAGCUUCUAGUAUUAAUUUUAUGACGGCCUGUACCGAAACCGACACAGGUGGGCAAGGCGAGAAGCCUGAGGUGAGCGAGAGAACUGUUGCCAAGGAACUCGGCAAAAUGGUCCCGUACGUUCGCAAGAAGGGACGCUCUAUUAAUAGAGCCGCAGUGAAUAGGCCCAAGCGACUGUUUAUCUAAAACACAGCUCUCUGCUAAGUUGAAAGACGACGUAUAGGGGGUGACUCCUGCCCGGUGCUGGAAGGUUAAGGGAAUCUGUUAGAGCUUGACUCGAAGCAGUGCACUGAAGCCCCAGUGAACGGCGGCCGUAACUAUAACGGUCCUAAGGUAGCGAAAUUCCUUGUCAGGUAAGUUCUGACCCGCACGAAAGGAGUAACGAUUUGGGCGCUGUCUCGGCAGCAGACUCGGUGAAAUCUUAGUGCCUGUGAAAAUGCAGGUUACCCGCAACUAGACGGAAAGACCCCAUGGAGCUUUACUGUAGCUUGAUAUUGAGUUUUGAUUAAACAUGUACAGGAUAGGUGGGAGACGUUAAAGCAUGCACGCCAGUGUAUGUGUAGUCACUGUUGGGAUACCACCCUUGUUUAAUUGAAAUUCUAACCAUGUACCGUGAUCCGGUACUGGGACCGUGUCAGGUGGGCAGUUUGACUGGGGCGGU